RNAcentral lists this microRNA (21 nucleotides) under Apis mellifera (honey bee). RNAcentral describes it as "ame-miR-3787-5p". The record is from miRBase by way of RNAcentral. Lineage: Eukaryota; Metazoa; Arthropoda; Insecta; Hymenoptera; Apidae.
GAGUCGAGCUUGUGUGUGGAA